CCUACGGGAGGCAGCAGGGAGGAAUAUUGGUCAAUGUACGAGAGUCUGAACCAGCCAAGUAGCGUGAAGGAUGACUGCCCUAUGGGUUGUAAACUUCUUUUAUAUGGGAAUAAAAUGUUCCACGUGUGGGAUGUUGUAUGUACCAUAUGAAUAAGGAUCGGCUAACUCCGUGCCAGCAGCCGCGGUAAUACGGAGGAUCCGAGCGUUAUCCGGAUUUAUUGGGUUUAAAGGGAGCGUAGGUGGAUUUUUAAGUCAGUGGGGAAAGUUUGCGGGUCAACCGUAAAAUUGCAGUUGAAACUGGCAGUCUUACGUACAGUAGAGGUGGGCGGAAUUCGUGUUGUAGCGGUGAAAUGCUUAGAUAUCACGAAGAACUCCGAUUGCGAAGGCAGUUCACUGGACUGCAACUGACACCGAGGCUCGAAAGUGUGGGUAUCAAACAGGAUUAGAUACCCCAGUAGUC
RNAcentral lists this ribosomal RNA (460 nucleotides) under uncultured bacterium. RNAcentral's name for it is "partial 16S ribosomal RNA". It matches the Rfam family "Bacterial small subunit ribosomal RNA", at positions 338 to 795 of the family's 1533-position model. The record is from RNAcentral.